GUGCAAACUCAUAACUAAGUCAGCACGAUGUUGCAGUUAUGAGAGGAACCAGGUUUGCUAAAGUAAUGGCAGUGAUAGAAAUGAAUUAACUUCAGAUCCUAUUGAGGUUGCCUAUUUUAGCCUAGUACAGGU
Molecule: small nucleolar RNA, 132 nt
Organism: Sorex araneus (European shrew)
Lineage: Eukaryota; Metazoa; Chordata; Mammalia; Eulipotyphla; Soricidae
Source: Ensembl